This is a long non-coding RNA of Dromiciops gliroides (monito del monte), 320 nucleotides long. RefSeq lists it as uncharacterized. The record is from RefSeq and is a predicted model, not a curated record. NCBI's taxonomy places the organism in Eukaryota, Metazoa, Chordata, Mammalia, Microbiotheria, Microbiotheriidae. The transcript is spliced from 3 exons.
GAUAUUUCUAACGAGAUUGUUGAUGAGCCGUGGGGUUUCUGCCGCUGAUUCCUGAUUGGGUGGAAUGGUUGCUAUCCCACUGAGGCGCUAAGGACAGACAGCAAACCCACACAUGGUCAGCACAUGGAAGGUAAUCUCAAGUCUUCAACAAAAUGAAAAGCAUCUCCUGCUCACCAAAACGCUGGAUAUGCCGAUAUAUUCAGUGAGAGGACAUAGACUGAGUUACAUACACAAACUUUCGAGGUGGCCAUCAUGCUGAGGAAAGAAUGCUGAAUCGGAGACCUCGGUUGCCCUCCUGGCUCUGCCCUGUGCUGCUUGUG